CCUACGGGAGGCAGCAGUGAGGAAUAUUGGUCAAUGGCCGGAAGGCUGAACCAGCCAUGCCGCGUGAAGGUCAGUGCCCUAUGGGCGUUAAACUUCUUUUGUGCGGGAGCAAUAAUGGUCACGUGUGGCCAGACGAGAGUACCGUACGAAUAAGCAUCGGCUAACUCCGUGCCAGCAGCCGCGGUAAUACGGGGGAUGCAAGCGUUAUCCGGAUUUAUUGGGUUUAAAGGGUGCGUAGGCUGUGAGGUAAGUCAGCGGUGAAAUGCCACCGCUUAACGGGGUGAAGUGCCAUUGAUACUGCCUGGCUGGAAUGCGGAUGCGGUGGGAGGAAUGUGUGGUGUAGCGGUGAAAUGCAUAGAUAUCACACAGAACACCGAUUGCGAAGGCAUCUCACGAAUCCGCGAUUGACGCUGAUGCACGAAAGCGUGGGUAUCAAACAGGAUUAGAUACCCUUGUAGUC
Molecule: ribosomal RNA, 460 nt
Filed under: uncultured bacterium
Lineage: Bacteria
Description: partial 16S ribosomal RNA
Rfam family: Bacterial small subunit ribosomal RNA
Source: RNAcentral